Molecule: ribosomal RNA, 318 nt
Filed under: Bacillus sp. PSu3_47
Lineage: Bacteria; Bacillati; Bacillota; Bacilli; Caryophanales; Bacillaceae
Description: bacterial SSU rRNA
Rfam family: Bacterial small subunit ribosomal RNA
Source: RNAcentral
GCAGUCGAGCGGACCGACGGGAGCUUGCUCCCUUAGGUCAGCGGCGGACGGGUGAGUAACACGUGGGUAACCUGCCUGUAAGACUGGGAUAACUCCGGGAAACCGGGGCUAAUACCGGAUGCUUGAUUGAACCGCAUGGUUCAAUCAUGAAAGGCGGCUUCGGCUGCCGUUUACAGAUGGACCCGCGGCGCAUUAGCUAGUUGGUGAGGUAACGGCUCACCAAGGCGACGAUGCGUAGCCGACCUGAGAGGGUGAUCGGCCACACUGGGACUGAGACACGGCCCAGACUCCUACGGGAGGCAGCAGUAGGGAAUCUUC